CAAUUAAUUUUAAAAAGGGACGAAUGGCAAACUAGGAUGCAUUAAUAAGACGGAAAAUCUGAAAAAUCGAGGGAGAAGCUUUGAACUCGAUUAUCUCAGGCGGAAACGCUGAAAAAGUAAGCUGGAAACUGAAACAUCUAAGUACCAGUAUAUAAAAGAAAUCAAACGAGACUCCGUGAGUAGCGGCGAGCGAACGCGGAAAAGUCCCACGAGUAAAUAGUGGAAGAUAGGUGUACACACAUCUAAGACUAAAUAUUAAUGCAUACCGAAAGAGAGAGUACUGUGAAGGAAAGUUGAAAGAGACUUGAAAAGAUCUUAAAAUGAGUCCCUUAAAGCAGUUGUAACACAACGUACCUUUUGUAUAAUGNGUUCACAAGACAAAAUUUGGCAAACUUAAGUGUUAAACGAAGGUGUAGUGAAACCAAGGGAAUACAUCCCUUGUAGUCAAAUUACCCGAAACCAAGUGACCUAGCCCCGGGCAGUUCA
Non-coding RNA from Nematostella vectensis (starlet sea anemone), 486 nucleotides. The record is from Rfam. Lineage: Eukaryota; Metazoa; Cnidaria; Anthozoa; Actiniaria; Edwardsiidae.